Molecule: RNA transcript, 1268 nt
Organism: Prosopis cineraria
Lineage: Eukaryota; Viridiplantae; Streptophyta; Magnoliopsida; Fabales; Fabaceae
Exons: 8
Source: RefSeq, a predicted model, not a curated record
AAGCACACCACUUUAGCCCCAAAAAAAAAACAAAAGAAAAGAAAAGGACAAGCAUUCCACACUCCGUCGGACGCCGUCCACCGUUGUCAGCCCUGCGUGGUUGUUCUUUCUCAGACAAGUAGUGUAGAAGGCUCGAACUCUGGGUCUUUCCCAAAAUCCGAAUGGCAACUACAGUGGAGGAUUGGUCACAGUAUGGAAUUUCAAUGGAGGAAAAAGACAAGCUUGUUGGAGAAGUAAUCCGUUAUAUGCUUUUUAAAACUCAUCAAAACUCAGGGUGCCCAAUUAAGAGAACUGAGCUUACUCAACUGGUUACUAAAAAUUAUCACCAGCGUAACCUUCCUGCUUCUGUGAUAAAUGAGGCCACAUAUAAGCUUUCUAGCAUAUUCGGCUAUGAAAUGAGAGAGCUUCAAAGAUCCCAACCGUCGUCCAAAAACCAGUCACAGCUUUCUCAACAAAAUGUUGCAGAUUCAAAAUCCUACAUCCUCAUUAGUCAGCUACCUCCCAAUGUUUACAAAAAAUAUGUUGUGGAUGUAAAUACUGCACAUCUGACUGGUUUCACUUUUGUCAUUGUUAGCAUUGUACAUCUUGCUGGUGGGAAAAUUCCUGCGGAAAGUCUCUUUACCCAUAUGAGGAGAAUGGGUUUGUCUGAAAAUGAAGAAAGCCAUCCCCUAUUUGGAAACGUCAAGCAUGCAUUAGAACUUCUUGUUCAGCAAAGAUAUUUACAGAAGGACAACGUCAAUGGUCCUGAGGGCAAUACUCUAUAUUAUGAACUCGCUGAAAGAGCUUUAGAUGGACCCAUUAGUGACAAGAUCAAAGAAUAUGUAUCUCAGGACUUCGGGAGGGUUCUAGCUGUAUAAAUGAGUGCAUUAUAUGCCUCAUGGAGCUAGUUUUUUGGGGAAAGAGUAAUGGCCCCAUGACAACGCGCCUUUCUAGCACCUUGCGCUUAAGGCAUUUUAUAGACCUUGCGUUUUGAGUGCAUCUUUCGCUUUUAUCAACACUAAUCUAAAUGAGAUUGUGAAGAACGACCACAAUCCAGUGGAUGAUGAUUAGACUCAGUAUUCCAACAGGGAUAAUUACAUGUCUUGGACUGGUCACUGAGUUCCUUAGUUGCCUUUUUUGUUAUGAUCAGCAAAUUCUGUAGGUUGGAUGAUGCAUCGGGCAGUUAUAUUUGAAUGCUUCGAGCUUAAUGACUUGGUUGAUAUGAUUUGAUCAUUUCUUGCAUAAAUUAUAUAUAUAUAUAUAUAUAUAUUUUGAUAGCUUCUAACUCA